Molecule: non-coding RNA, 176 nt
Organism: Oryza glaberrima (African rice)
Lineage: Eukaryota; Viridiplantae; Streptophyta; Magnoliopsida; Poales; Poaceae
Source: Rfam
AACCACACUAUCAAUGAAUGGAUUCAUCCGUGAGAUGACGUGACUGUUUCAUUUAGGACGAGAACAUGUCAUCCUAUUAACAGCCAUCGCACGAAAUUAAUAGGAUGCCACGUCUUCAUCCUAGAUGGAACGACCACGUCAUCUCAUGGGUGAAUCCAUUCAUCGAUAGUGUGAUU